GAUGAACGCUGGCGGCGUGCCUAAUACAUGCAAGUCGAGCGAACGGACGAGAAGCUUGCUUCUCUGAUGUUAGCGGCGGACGGGUGAGUAACACGUGGAUAACCUACCUAUAAGACUGGGAUAACUUCGGGAAACCGUAGCUAAUACCGGAUAAUAUUUUGAACCGCAUGGUUCAAAAGUGAAAGACGGUCUUGCUGUCACUUAUAGAUGGAUCCGCGCUGCAUUAGCUAGUUGGUAAGGUAACGGCUUACCAAGGCAACGAUGCAUAGCCGACCUGAGAGGGUGAGCGGCCACACUUGAACUGAGACACGGUCCAGACUCCUACGGGAGGCAGCAGUAGGGAAUCUUCCGCAAUGGGCGAAAGCCUGACGGAGCAACGCCGCGUGAGUGAUGAAGGUCUUCGGAUCGUAAAACUCUGUUAUUAGGGAAGAACAUAUGUGUAAGUAACUGUGCACAUCUUGACGGUACCUAAUCAGAAAGCCACGGCUAACUACGUG
RNAcentral lists this ribosomal RNA (497 nucleotides) under uncultured bacterium. RNAcentral describes it as "partial 16S ribosomal RNA". It matches the Rfam family "Bacterial small subunit ribosomal RNA", at positions 28 to 507 of the family's 1533-position model. The record is from RNAcentral.